GCAGAGGUCCCAUCAUGUUAUAAUACUGCUGGAGAGGAGGCAGAGGUCCCAUCAUGUUAUAAUACUGCUGGAGAGGAGGCAGAGGUCCCAUCAUGUUAUAAUACUGCUGAAUGGAGAGGAGGCAGAGGUCCCAUCAUGUUAUAAUACUGCUGAAUGGAGAGGAGACAGAGGUCCCAUCAUGUUAUAAUACUGCUGGAGAGGAGGCAGAGGUACCAUCAUGUUAUAUUACUGCUGGAGAGGAGGCAGAGGUCCCAUCAUGUUAUAAUACUGCUGGAGAGGAGACAGAGGUCCCAUCAUGUUAUAAUACUGCUGAAUGGAGAGGAGGCAGAGGUCCCAUCAUGUUAUAAUACUGCUGGAGAGGAGACAGAGGUCCCAUCAUGUUAUAAUACUGCUGGAUGGAGAGGAGACAGAGGUCCCAUCAUGUUAUAAUACUGCUGGAGAGGAGGCAGAGGUCCCAUCAUGUUAUAAUACUGCUGAAUGGAGAGGAGACAGAGGUCCCAUCAUGUUAUAAUACUGCUGGAGAGGAGACAGAGGUCCCAUCAUGUUAUAAUACUACUGGAGAGGAGGCAGAGGUCCCAUCAUGUUAUAAUACUGCUGGAGAGGAGACAGAGGUCCCAUCAUGUUAUAAUACUGCUGGAGAGGAGACAGAGGUACCAUCAUGUUAUAAUACUGCUGGAGAGGAGGCAGAGGUCCCAUCAUGUUAUAAUACUGCUGGAGAGGAGACAGAGGUACCAUCAUGUUAUAAUACUGCUGGAGAGGAGACAGAGGUCCCAUCAUGUUAUAAUACUGCUGGAGAGGAGACAGAGGUCCCAUCAUGUUAUAAUACUGCUGAAUGGAGAGGAGACAGAGGUCCCAUCAUGUUAUAAUACUGCUGAAUGGAGAGGAGGCAGAGGUCCCAUCAUGUUAUAAUACUGCUGGAGAGGAGACAGAGGUCCCAUCAUGUUAUAAUACUACUGGAGAGGAGGCAGAGGUACCAUCAUGUUAUAAUACUGCUGAAUGGAGAGGAGACAGAGGUCCCAUCAUGUUAUAAUACUGCUGGAGAGGAGACAGAGGUCCCAUCAUGUUAUAAUACUGCUGGAGAGGAGACAGAGGUACCAUCAUGUUAUAAUACUGCUGGAGAGGAGGCAGAGGUCCCAUCAUGUUAUAAUACUGCUGAAUGGAGAGGAGACAGAGGUCCCAUCAUGUUAUAAUACUGCUGAAUGGAGAGGAGACAGAGGUCCCAUCAUGUUAUAAUACUGCUGAAUGGAGAGGAGACAGAGGUCCCAUCAUGUUAUAAUACUGCUGAAUGGAGAGGAGACAGAGGUCCCAUCAUGUUAUAAUACUGCUGGAGAGGAGACAGAGGUCCCAU
This is a long non-coding RNA of Oncorhynchus nerka (sockeye salmon), 1348 nucleotides long. RefSeq lists it as uncharacterized. The record is from RefSeq and is a predicted model, not a curated record. The transcript has 4 exons. Lineage: Eukaryota; Metazoa; Chordata; Actinopteri; Salmoniformes; Salmonidae.